RNAcentral lists this ribosomal RNA (680 nucleotides) under uncultured organism. RNAcentral describes it as "SSU rRNA". It matches the Rfam family "Bacterial small subunit ribosomal RNA", at positions 75 to 735 of the family's 1533-position model. The record is from RNAcentral.
GGAGCUUGCUCCACCGAAAGAAAAAGAGUGGCGAACGGGUGAGUAACACGUGGGUAACCUGCCCAUCAGAAGGGGAUAACACUUGGAAACAGGUGCUAAUACCGUAUAACACUAUUUUCCGCAUGGAAGAAAGUUGAAAGGCGCUUUUGCGUCACUGAUGGAUGGACCCGCGGUGCAUUAGCUAGUUGGUGAGGUAACGGCUCACCAAGGCCACGAUGCAUAGCCGACCUGAGAGGGUGAUCGGCCACACUGGGACUGAGACACGGCCCAGACUCCUACGGGAGGCAGCAGUAGGGAAUCUUCGGCAAUGGACGAAAGUCUGACCGAGCAACGCCGCGUGAGUGAAGAAGGUUUUCGGAUCGUAAAACUCUGUUGUUAGAGAAGAACAAGGAUGAGAGUAGAACGUUCAUCCCUUGACGGUAUCUAACCAGAAAGCCACGGCUAACUACGUGCCAGCAGCCGCGGUAAUACGUAGGUGGCAAGCGUUGUCCGGAUUUAUUGGGCGUAAAGCGAGCGCAGGCGGUUUCUUAAGUCUGAUGUGAAAGCCCCCGGCUCAACCGGGGAGGGUCAUUGGAAACUGGGAGACUUGAGUGCAGAAGAGGAGAGUGGAAUUCCAUGUGUAGCGGUGAAAUGCGUAGAUAUAUGGAGGAACACCAGUGGCGAAGGCGGCUCUCUGGUCU